GUCACCGGCCGCCCCGAGGGCACGGGGGAGCCUCGUGCGCGCGCGGCGGGGCCUGGCACGGCCGCUGCCUCCCGACACCCCCUGCCGGGCUGGGCAGCCCUGGAAGUCCCUGGAAAUCCCUGCCGAAUCCUGUGUCGCCGCCGCCCACUUGUCUCCCGUGGGCGGCUGAGGAUGGAAAACACCGUGCUGUCGCGCGGGAGGGCCGAGCCGCGGGGGGCGGAGCGGCGGCAGGGGACGUGCGGCUGCGCCGGAGGCCCGGAUUGAACAACAUGCGCAAGUAGACAUGGAUAUCCAGUUAGGAAGAUCAUUCUGCCAUCUCUCUUCAGAGCUGAGAAGAAGCUUCAUCAUCCAGGUCUAGCAGAAAACUCUAUUCAAGCAUGUACAGUUCUCCAAAUCUGCUCUAACUCCUGUCAUCCAUUGUCAAAACAAAAGUAAGAUAUUUGAGUGUACCUUCUGUGGCUCUCAUCUGUAUCCAGCAGUCAUCAUGCCAUUUCCAAAGCUUUAUGUUAAGAAGGGAACUGGAUUAUGCCUCACAGAGUUCCAAACCCAAGCUGAGUCCUUUCAGUUGCACAUACAGAAUGAAUCCACUUGUAGUUAAGCUGUAAAGGACUAACUAGUCUGACUGCACAGUCACAUGUUGGAUUGUAACCUCCAGUCCCAGUGGGUAGUGAAACAUCAGCCUGGCUCUGUAGGCUGUUGAUGUGGACCUCUGAAACUGGCUACGCAGCUCUGCAGCUGCACUUCUUUCUCGUGUGGCCUGGCUGUAGAAGUGGUUUACCCACAUUUGCAUGGUGCAAAAUUGGCUUUGACAGGGGUAGAUACCGAGAGUCCAGACUGUAAUAACUACUUGAUUUGUGACUCAGAGCUGCAGGGGACUGUAAUGUCUGAAGACUUAGAGUUAGAGGAUGAAAUAUACUCUUCACUCUUCAUUUCACAGAAAAAAGAAAAGACGUGGAAACAUAAAGGAGCUUCAUCAUCUGCUCUCCUUGGGGAAAAAAAAAUCAUGCUGACAAAGACUUCUUUUGAAAAGCUGGAAGAGGAACAUUUGCUGUGAUAUAUUGAUCCUUUGGAAGCAGCUGAUAGUGGCGAAGCCCACUCCAUCACCUAGGAGUCUGACAAUCCUGGUCCCAGCAGGUGACAGGAUGGAGGAGGAAGAUGAAUCAUUUGGAUUCUGCUGCCAUGGACUUAAUUAUCUCUGACUUAUCUCUGAAACAACUGAUGUGUCCUCCCAGAGAUGUAGCCUGCAGCCCCCACUCCAGGACUGCUUCCUAACAGGAAGCCUCUACCGCCUCCACCUCUGCUGUAUAGGAGUUGUAGCUGUAUAUGCUAUGAGGAGACUGACCCUGUCCACAGCCACAUGCUCAUGACAUAGCUGCAUACAUUGAAGUUGUGCUUUUCAUCUUGAAAGGAGCUGAGAAGGGGAUUCUCACCUAAGCACAGAAGGGCCAAAUAGAGUGUACUUCACUGAGGAUCUCUAUCCCUGCUAAAGGUGGAUUAUUUCAAUGCUCUGAAGGCCUUCAGAACCUACAGAGGUGUGACUGACAGGGAGCAGUCAGUGGUGUUUGUGCUCAGUUGGUACCAGAAGGCAGCUGAACCCACAGCAGACUUGGACCUGAAGCCAGGCAGUGUGUGGCAGGUCAGUGGAAAGGAAGUCUUUUUGCCUCAUCCUCGCUACAGCACCCUGGGUCCUCCUCUGCCUCCUGGAGAUGCCGUCUUCCCCAGGAGCUCCUGGGCAUGAUCCGAGGAGGGAAGAUUCACAACUGAAGGACAGAGCAGACAGAAGGGAAAUGGAAGAUCCAGCAAGGAAACAGCACAGCAAACAUGGGUGGGUGACUCCUGAGGAGAGCACCAUCAAAAUCACAGCCAAAACAGGAGAGAAGGAAAAAAAUCACCCUCCCCUAAGGUUUGAGAGAUGGCAGGGCGGCCACUUGGGAAGUCACUGAGUUGUUAGUUGGAAAGCAAGAUUGAAUGUGAAGGCUGGCUCUGCUAUGAUACUUGGGACUGGAAGACCCUCAAAUUCUCUUCUGUCUUCCCUUUUCAUUUUGAGUUUUCUCAGAUUUAGAAGUAUGCUCUUCUAGUAUCUGUUCUGAAAUAAACUGGUUUCUAAUUGUAAAA
Pipra filicauda (Wire-tailed manakin) is the source of this 2115-nucleotide long non-coding RNA. RefSeq lists it as uncharacterized. The record is from RefSeq and is a predicted model, not a curated record. NCBI's taxonomy places the organism in Eukaryota, Metazoa, Chordata, Aves, Passeriformes, Pipridae. The transcript has 11 exons.